CAAUAGCGUAUAUUAAAGUUGUUGCGGUUAAAAAGCUCGUAGUUGGAUUUCGGGUGGGACGCAGCGGUCUCGCAUUGCGUUUGUACUGCUGCAGCCCUCCUUCUUGCCGGGGGCGGCCUGUCGGACUUCACUGUCUGCGGGUCAGAAUCGGCGAUGUUACUUUGAGUAAAUUAGAGUGUUCAAAGCAAGCUUACGCUCUGAAUAUAAUAGCAUGGGAUAACACGACAGGACUCUGGCCUAUCGUGUUGGUCUAUAGGACCAGAGUAAUGAUUAAGAGGGACAGUCGGGGGCAUUCGUAUUCCGUUGUCAGAGGUGAAAUUCUUGGAUUUACGGAAGACGAACAUCUGCGAAAGCAUUUGCCAAGGAUGUUUUCAUUGA
This 378-nucleotide ribosomal RNA is filed under the name uncultured eukaryote. Its description in RNAcentral is "partial 18S ribosomal RNA". It matches the Rfam family "Eukaryotic small subunit ribosomal RNA", at positions 592 to 976 of the family's 1831-position model. The record is from RNAcentral.